This is a small nucleolar RNA of Ornithorhynchus anatinus (platypus), 139 nucleotides long. The record is from RefSeq and is a predicted model, not a curated record. NCBI's taxonomy places the organism in Eukaryota, Metazoa, Chordata, Mammalia, Monotremata, Ornithorhynchidae.
GCCCUCUCAGGAUCACACCUGGAGAGUUUUCAGUACUCUAACCAGUCUCGGCUACCAGAGGGAGAGUCAAGCAGAGGCACAUCCAUUCCAUUCCUAGCUUGGGCAGAGGCUAGCGAGCGGAAAGCAAUCUGCUGCAACU